Molecule: ribosomal RNA, 310 nt
Filed under: uncultured bacterium
Lineage: Bacteria
Description: partial 16S ribosomal RNA
Rfam family: Bacterial small subunit ribosomal RNA
Source: RNAcentral
AAGAGACAGCAGUCGCCGCGGGAAUACGUAGGGUGCAAGCGUUAAUCGGAAUUACUGGGCGUAAAGCGUGCGCAGGCGGUUAUAUAAGACAGUCGUGAAAUCCCCGGGCUCAACCUGGGAACUGCGAUUGUGACUGUAUGGCUAGAGUGUGUCAGAGGGGGGUAGAAUUCCACGUGUAGCAGUGAAAUGCGUAGAUAUGUGGAGGAAUACCGAUGGCGAAGGCAGCCCCCUGGGAUAACACUGACGCUCAUGCACGAAAGCGUGGGGAGCAAACAGGAUUAGAUACCCCCGUAGUCCCUGUCUCUUAUAC